This 301-nucleotide ribosomal RNA is filed under the name uncultured bacterium. Its description in RNAcentral is "partial 16S ribosomal RNA". It matches the Rfam family "Bacterial small subunit ribosomal RNA", at positions 509 to 807 of the family's 1533-position model. The record is from RNAcentral.
CAGUAGCCGCGGGAAUACGUAGGGUGCGAGCGUUAAUCGGAAUUACCGGGCGUAAAGCGUGCGCAGGCGGUUAUAUAAGACAGAUGUGAAAUCCCCGGGCUUAACCUGGGAACUGCAUUUGUGACUGGCAAGCUAGAGUAUGGCAGAGGGGGGUGGAAUUCCGCGUGUAGCAGUGAAAUGCGUAGAUAUGCGGAGGAACACCGAUGGCGAAGGCAGCCCCCUGGGCCAAUACUGACGCUCAUGCACGAAAGCGUGGGGAGCAAACAGGAUUAGAUACCCGAGUAGUCCCUGUCUCUUAUAC